This 73-nucleotide transfer RNA is filed under the name Anguilla anguilla (European eel). RNAcentral describes it as "tRNA-OTHER". The record is from RNAcentral. Lineage: Eukaryota; Metazoa; Chordata; Actinopteri; Anguilliformes; Anguillidae.
GGCACGGUGGUGCAGUGGGUAGCAGUGUCGCCUCCCAGCAAGAAGGUCCUGGGUGCAAAUCCAAUCUGGGCCU